Molecule: transfer RNA, 60 nt
Filed under: Prevotella sp. CAG:732
Lineage: Bacteria; Pseudomonadati; Bacteroidota; Bacteroidia; Bacteroidales; Prevotellaceae
Rfam family: tRNA
About the family: Transfer RNA (tRNA) molecules are approximately 80 nucleotides in length. Their secondary structure includes four short double-helical elements and three loops (D, anti-codon, and T loops).
Source: Rfam by way of RNAcentral
GCCUCUUUAGCUCAGUUGGCCAGAGCACGUGAUUUGUAAUCUCGGGGUCGUUGGUUCGAA